Molecule: long non-coding RNA, 436 nt
Filed under: Sorghum bicolor (sorghum)
Lineage: Eukaryota; Viridiplantae; Streptophyta; Magnoliopsida; Poales; Poaceae
Description: long non-coding RNA (SBIC_LNC004403)
Source: RNAcentral
AGGCUUGCGUUUGAGGGACAUGCGAUCGUGCGGUGUACGUCUACUGUACCUGGCUACACGGCGGGAGGACGUCGAGGGAGGUUUCCGGAUUACGCCACAAAAUCCGGGGUUCGCUGGUUGAGCCACAAAGCCAUGCAUCGUACCGGGACGCUCGUGCGGCGGGCGUUGGCCGAAGAUGGAAAUUCCGGCGAUCGCGAUACGAUUUCGGAUGGUCAUGCGGUGACAUCGCGAGGAUCACAUCGCGGAGAUGGAGGGAUCGCGGACAUCGCGGAAUUUACCAUGGAAGAUUAGACGUAAUUAGAAUUUACGCUCCUACGUUAAAUUUAUUUAGCGUAGGGGGUUAUGUGUAAAAGGUAGAGCCACCCUUGGGGUUAUAAAUAUGUGGCACCUAGGGUUGAGAGGGUUUGGGGCCUUUUUGCUACAGUGCCGCGGUUAC